UUAAAGUCAGUGAAAAGAGAGAGUAGGUAUAGGAAAUUAGUUUCAGAGAGCUUGGGGUGGUGUGAUCCAAGUGCUGUAGCCUUUAUUGAAUGGGUCUUUGAGAUGACACUUGGAAUUUAUAGUACAGGUGUACGGGAAGUCCGCCGUUAAAAGGACAGGGUAUCGAUUAAGUUCCGUACCUGGUAAAGAUUGUGUGUAACGUAGGUGGCAUAGCGAAAUAAGGUAUUUCGUCCUAAGGGAUGAAGUAUCUUUUGUUUUUAUAAACACUUUUGUUAUACAAAAAAUGGGUGGCACCACGAGUCACUUCGUCCCAUUA
This 316-nucleotide non-coding RNA is filed under the name Clostridium paraputrificum. RNAcentral describes it as "T-box sequence". It matches the Rfam family "T-box leader". Rfam says of the family: Uncharged tRNA acts as the effector for transcription antitermination of genes in the T-box leader family. T-boxes are found upstream of many aminoacyl-tRNA synthetase genes and some amino acid biosynthetic genes usually in Gram-positive bacteria. Lineage: Bacteria; Bacillati; Bacillota; Clostridia; Eubacteriales; Clostridiaceae. The record is from RNAcentral.